CAGCAGCCGCGGUAAUACGAAGGGGGCUAGCGUUGCUCGGAAUGACUGGGCGUAAAGGGCGCGUAGGCGGAUUGUUUAGUUAGGCGUGAAAUUCCUGGGCUUAACCUGGGGACUGCGCUUAAUACAGGCAGUCUAGAGUGAGGAAGAGGGUUGUGGAAUUCCCAGUGUAGAGGUGAAAUUCGUAGAUAUUGGGAAGAACACCGGUGGCGAAGGCGGCGACCUGGUCCUUGACUGACGCUGAGGCGCGAAAGCGUGGGGAGCAAACAGGAUUAGAUACCCGAGUAGUCCCUGUCUCUUAUAC
Molecule: ribosomal RNA, 301 nt
Filed under: uncultured bacterium
Lineage: Bacteria
Description: partial 16S ribosomal RNA
Rfam family: Bacterial small subunit ribosomal RNA
Source: RNAcentral